UGGGGAAUAUUGCACAAUGGGCGCAAGCCUGAUGCAGCCAUGCCGCGUGUGUGAAGAAGGCCUUCGGGUUGUAAAGCACUUUCAGCGGGGAGGAAGGCGAUAAGGUUAAUAACCUUGGCGAUUGACGUUACCCGCAGAAGAAGCACCGGCUAACUCCGUGCCAGCAGCCGCGGUAAUACGGAGGGUGCAAGCGUUAAUCGGAAUUACUGGGCGUAAAGCGCACGCAGGCGGUCUGUCAAGUCGGAUGUGAAAUCCCCGGGCUCAACCUGGGAACUGCAUUCGAAACUGGCAGGCUAGAGUAUUGUAGAGGGGGGUAGAAUUCCAGGUGUAGCGGUGAAAUGCGUAGAGAUCUGGGGGAAUACCGGUGGCGAAGGCGGCCCCCUGGACAAAGACUGACGCUCAGGUGCGAAAGCGUGGGGAGCAAACAGG
Molecule: ribosomal RNA, 429 nt
Filed under: Chloroflexota bacterium
Lineage: Bacteria; Bacillati; Chloroflexota
Description: Chloroflexi bacterium partial 16S ribosomal RNA
Rfam family: Bacterial small subunit ribosomal RNA
Source: RNAcentral